Molecule: microRNA precursor, 201 nt
Filed under: Branchiostoma belcheri (Belcher's lancelet)
Lineage: Eukaryota; Metazoa; Chordata; Leptocardii; Amphioxiformes; Branchiostomatidae
Description: microRNA bbe-mir-92c precursor
Gene: bbe-mir-92c
Source: miRBase by way of RNAcentral
UGAAUGGAUAGGGAGGGGGUUUUGAUUGAGUGUUUUUGUAAAAUUUAGCGGUUUUGUUUUUGGCGGGAAGGUCGGGACAAGGAACAAUGUUCCCCACUGAUAUUGCACUUGUCCCGGCUCGUCCGCUGCCGCCAUCUUGCUUCAAACUUGACUUCGGCACUCUUUUUACUUCAAGCCACCCGUUCUGCAGCCUUCCUCUUC